Non-coding RNA from Mycena galopus ATCC 62051, 106 nucleotides. Lineage: Eukaryota; Fungi; Basidiomycota; Agaricomycetes; Agaricales; Mycenaceae. The record is from the annotation of a GenBank genome assembly.
GCUCCAAUGGGUCAGCGGGAGACCGGCCUGAUCAUAUUCAACGACGUCAGUGUAAUCCAUUACAUAGUAUUUCGGGCAGAGGUGGGUUCGACUCCCGCUUGGGGCG